Molecule: long non-coding RNA, 540 nt
Filed under: Homo sapiens (human)
Lineage: Eukaryota; Metazoa; Chordata; Mammalia; Primates; Hominidae
Description: non-protein coding lnc-FAM182B-5:1
Source: RNAcentral
CACAGAGUUGCUAGCUUGGACUUGUUCUGAUGGAAAUAGCAGGAGUCCCAACUACAAGAGUUGCAAUGUCAAGGCCUCAUCUUAUAACUGGCACAUAGGUCACUUCCACCAUAUUCUUUUUGCUAACGAAAGUCACAAAGUCAGUCCAUGUUCAAGUAGAGGGGAAACUGACUCCACCACUUGAUGUGAAGAGUUGGAAUAUCAUAGUUAUUGUUUCUUGUGACUUGCCAUAGCGUAUUUUCUCACACUAACAACUCUGUAUUUCUUCCCAAAUUCUGAAAAAUUCUUUUGUUGGCUCUUCCUGUACUUGAUUCAUUACAUUAAGUUUUCCAUUUAAAUGUUAUUUCCUUGGAAAGACUUUAUCAUUUGUCAAGUAGGUGUAUUCUCUUCAUCAGUUACUCUAUUUUCUCAUUACAAUAUGAACUUUGUAAAAAUGGGAACUUUACUUUGUUUAUGCCAGUAGUUUAUAUACAUUUUCUGUUACGUGAAAAGUACAAAAUGUUUUUUUCAUGGUUAAAGAAAUAAAAGAAUAAAUAUGUA